AGGAUCCACUAUGCUGGGGACUGAAAGGCACUGCCCAGCAUUCACCUGGCAUCUCAGAACCAAAGAAUGGCUGGAGCCUGAAAUAAGAUCCAUAGAAACCCCUGCAGGUGCCAUGAAGCCAGCCAAUAGGGAACAGCUUGCUGCCAAGUUUGGUCAACUCCCAGAGAAGAUUAAGAUGCCUCCUUGGUUCCAUCCCCAGACAACCUGCUUGCUUUCCUUCCUACAAUGCAGCUCUUAGGCUCUCCUUACAUGCUUCUAUGAGUAAUACACUUUCCCUUCUCUCUCUUUCCAAUAGCAUUGUGGCCAUCUGGCAGUUCUGGCAGCAUCGAAACAGUACAUGAGAAAGAUUCCCAUAACUCUGAGGAACGUACGUCAUUGUGUCCAUCUGGCAGUUCUGGCAGCAUGGAAAUAGUGUAACUGGCUGGUCUGCCAUGUAAAGAAGAGAGGAAGAGUGGAUCCGACGCCUACGUAUUGGAUUUUGUUGAACCUUUUCAAGAUUUCUUCAGGGCUUUUCACUUGAUGUCGGAAUAUUUGUACUGCAGAGACUUGGGCCUGAGGCAGAAGUUGACUCUUUUG
Non-coding RNA from Anolis sagrei ordinatus, 576 nucleotides. Lineage: Eukaryota; Metazoa; Chordata; Lepidosauria; Squamata; Anolidae. The record is from RefSeq and is a predicted model, not a curated record.